This is a non-coding RNA of Capsicum annuum, 107 nucleotides long. Lineage: Eukaryota; Viridiplantae; Streptophyta; Magnoliopsida; Solanales; Solanaceae. The record is from Rfam.
CUGCUGUGAUGCAGACAGUCCUAAAAAAGUACUUUGAACCACUCCCAAGCAUGAUACAAAUUUUCAUCUGGAUUUUGUUUGAAGCACACAAUCUCACUUUAAAGUCU